GGCCGGGUGGCGGAAUUGGCAGACGCGUAGGUCUCAAAAACCUAUGGUACGUAAGUACUGUGAGAGUUCGAGUCUCUCCCUGGCCA
Molecule: transfer RNA, 86 nt
Filed under: Candidatus Woesebacteria bacterium RBG_16_34_12
Lineage: Bacteria; Candidatus Woeseibacteriota
Description: tRNA-Leu
Rfam family: tRNA
About the family: Transfer RNA (tRNA) molecules are approximately 80 nucleotides in length.
Source: RNAcentral